Long non-coding RNA from Camarhynchus parvulus, 2802 nucleotides. RefSeq lists it as uncharacterized. The transcript has 4 exons. The record is from RefSeq and is a predicted model, not a curated record. NCBI's taxonomy places the organism in Eukaryota, Metazoa, Chordata, Aves, Passeriformes, Thraupidae.
UUCCCCUCUCUUUCUCUCCUUGUCUUUUUGUCUCUUUAUGUCUAUUGCAUUAUGCCUGAAUAAUUUUCAGUCUUUUUUUUUCUCCCCUCUUGCACGCACAUGCUAAAAUAACUAGACAAAGAUGCAAGGUGGUUGCUGCAGUCCCUGUCUCUAGGACAAAACCAAGAAAGCUUGUGAUUGCAAUGCCACCUUUCCUUUUUUUUUUUUUUCUUCUUUUUUUCUUCCCCAGCCAUGCUUGGUGAUUAAACUUCCUCAGGAUGGGGAAGAAAAAGGAGCUGGAAAUGAAAUAAGGUUGAGGAAAAAUCCCAUUGCAGCAGCUGCAGCCAGUGGUGUCUGCUGCCAGAUGUGCGAAGGUUCCUGGGGUCCUUGUCACUAAAAGGCAGUAUUCAAAUAUUUGGAGACAAAAGCUGCAUCCUCAGUGAUCAUUUUCUUUAUUUAACAUGGCAGCAGGCAUCGUGGGGAAAAAUCAACAUGCUGGAUGUUGAAUCGGACUUUUUUUCCUUUCUGGGAUGAAAGGAUGUUAUCUAUCCCGUGCCAAGAGGGAACUGAGGUACUGGUCUCUUAGCCUGUAAGGCUUGUGCAUGAUGUCUAUGAGAGCAAUUUCCAGCAGAGCGAAGCCUUAUCACAGAUUCACCUAAAAGGUGAAGUGGGUGAAUAUCAGACAGCUCAUUAGAGAGACAUGCAUGCUGCAUUCCCAAAGUAGGAUGACAGAACAAGUCAUGGUGGAUAGGAGUCAUGGAUGUUAAAGGAGACAUUAACCAGGCUGUUGUGAAAGAUCUGAUACCAGCUUUGGUCAAAGGGGACGAGUGUCAUCCUGAGAGUGCUCCUCUCUGGGACAGGAAGCCGACGGAGCGAAGCCCUGGGAACACGCCGCGACACUUCAUAUUCCAUCCGCAGACCUAUAAAGAGAUGAAAAAUGAGCCUUGUCCAAAGCUCUUACCUCAGCACCCAGUGGCAAAAAGAAAAUGUGAGCUCGGGACCAGGUCUCUUUGAAGCUGAUUUUUGCUAUUUUUUUUAAACACUCCAACAGGCCUCUGGUGGUUACAGGUAUUGAUCGUCAGAAAGUAAUCUGUUCAGGUUUGGGGGCAUGCCAGACCAAAUCCUGGAGUACAUUCCUUCCUCUCCAAGGACACGUUGAGCUUUUUACUGUCCACACUGGCAUGCUUGUCAGCUGUGUGGCCUCUUUGUCUUUACUGCUUUCCCUGUCUGUGGAAAGCAUAUAAUUACACCUCUCUUAUACAAAUAUUUUAUAUUGCUACUCUUGAAUUUUCUGCCAGUGCUGAAGGUUUUUUCUACCCCAUUUUUUAACCCUCAUUUUUCUUCUAUAAUCAUUAUUUGAUUCCCUCUGGCUGCCUGCUACUUAUUUGUAGUAGUACCAUUCAUCCAUUGAGACUUUUCCAUCUGUCACACAGUUUUGCUUUCUCUCCCCAGAAGCUUUCUUCUCCUACUGUGCCAUGCUUGAUUCUUUUGGUUUAGUUGCAUGUUUGUAUGCUCUUUUUAGUAUUUUAAAAAAUGCUUCAGUAUUCAGAAAAAAUACAAGAGGAACAAAACCCCAACAUAGUAAAGAGCAGCUUAAAUCCAACACUGCGCACAGAAAGAGGAUGAGGAGACUGAGAUUCCUGGUGAAUUAGGGAAUGAACACAUAUAGCCAGGGCAGAACUUGUGGCCAGACCUUGCUCUUUCUGAAUUCUGUUCAUUGCCUUCAAAAUCAUUCCAAUUUUGUGCUAGAUAAAUAGGUGAUGUCAGGAAAUGUUGCAUUCCCUCUGCUGCACUGACUCCCUUUGGUGUAUUCAUUACAAGGACUGAGGAAAACCAAACAUACUGAGAUACAAUACUGUGAUUUCCCACACCGUGCCAUUCUUUAAGAAAAGAAUGUUUUAAAGUGUCAGUCGCUUACUAAAAGAAGAUCAUGGUCAUAUCCUACAUUUAAAAUUAAAUGAGCAAUUUUUGUUUGCAAAGGUUAGAUAUCAAAGAAAUGCAGCACUUGUUAGUGUUCCCAGGUGAAAUGCAGGAAGGGCUAAAGCCAGCAGCAUAACCCUUCAGAAUGAUUGUUUUUAUUCUGUGUAUGUUCAAUCCCUAUUAAAGCAAAUCUUAGUUUUUGAUGUGAGCAAGAAUAGGAAAUUUAACAGCAGCUCUACAGAUCACUUGUGAUUGAAUCAAAUCUCAAAUCUUUAGUCUUGGAGAGCUCACAAAAUUACCUGCUUCCGAUAAUACAUUUUUAAUAUCUCUUUAUUAAUUUUCUCUUCUUUUCCUCUUAUGCAUCUCAUUUUAUCUUCUUAUGUUCUUGUUUCAAAAGUUCCUGCAAGUUUAUCAUUACUAUUAGGAUUAGUAAAAAGUAUGUGUUUUGUUUUCAAAAAUCUUUUUUUCAGUAGAACUGCUUCCAUUGUUUAUAAAAUUGCAUCUCUGGCUGUAUAGAAAGUGCUGUUAGUCUCCAAGCAAGCACAAAAGCUGUGAGUGUAUCCUUGUGUGAGUGGCAAUCCCCAGAAAGUUUCCUUUGCUACCAGCUACUUCACUUCACAGUUCUGAGAAUGAAGUGGGUGGAAAAAUUCAGAAUCUUCAGUACGUACUUGUAUGGGCAAAUGUCUGAAAAUGUAGAUGUUUUACAAAAAUCCUAUUCAUUAAGUGUUGUCAUGUGAAAGUAAGGGCCAUUCAGACACAGCUUUUAAUUUACCUGAACCUUAAGGUGCUUUGCAAAGGAAAAUAAAUGGUUCCUUUUCUGGAAUAAGUUAUGAAAAUAAAAUUUAAGAAAAUGAGUGAGAAGGCAAAAGAGGAAAGAAUGUGAGAGAGACAAACAGCUCCUGC